AGGCACUUUGCCUCUGAGUUCAGUUCAAGUCCUCGGAGGGCAGCUGACAUUUGCUGAACACCAGGGAGACAAGCCAGACAGGCAGGACAUGUGCCAGCUCUGCUCCUUCUCGUCAUCCACGGCCACUUCUGCACCUGCCAGGAGGAAGCGGAGAGAGGCACAUUUGGGGGCACACUGACCACAUCCUGUGUGUAUUGCCCAGGAUGGGAAUCUCACAAAAAAUGGUUGUGUCAUGGGAAUGACCGGGAUUCCUGCAAAAUCCUUGUUAAAACCACCGGGUCAGAACAACUGGUGAAGAGGGGCAGAGUGUCGAUCCAGGACAAUCACAGCCGACACACAUUCACCAUGACCUUGGAGAAUCUCCAGUGGGACAAUGAAGACACCUACUGGUGUGGGAUUGAGCGGACUGGCACUGAUAUAGGGUACAAAUUUUCAGUGAUUGUCGAACCAGUGACCAUGCAAUGUCACUAUGGCCCAAUGUGGGAGACCUACAUGAGGUCCUGGUGUCCAGAUGCUGAUCUGAGUAGCUGCACCAUCUUUGUUCAAACCGCUGGAUCAGAGCUGAAGAAGAACCUUGUGUCCAUCAAUCAGAAAAUGCACACAUUCUCCAUGACCAUAUGGGGGGAGUAAAACAAUUUUUGAGAAAAAUGACCUGUUGUGUUUCUGAGUUGCUCCCAGGCAUUUUACAGAAUGGCAACCCUGUUCACACGUGAAAUCUGGAAAUUCAGAGAAGGACCCAAGCUUAGAAUUCUUCCAUAAGUUCCUUCUUUGCUUUUUCUGGGGCACCUUUUAAAUUAACCACUUGGAUUUGAUUCUGUGAAAAAUCAGUGACCUCUUCCCCAACCCCCUUGUAAGUCACAGGGGCUCUCAGUCU
Long non-coding RNA from Acinonyx jubatus (cheetah), 874 nucleotides. RefSeq lists it as uncharacterized. Lineage: Eukaryota; Metazoa; Chordata; Mammalia; Carnivora; Felidae. The record is from RefSeq and is a predicted model, not a curated record. The transcript has 3 exons.